Molecule: ribosomal RNA, 249 nt
Filed under: uncultured bacterium
Lineage: Bacteria
Description: partial 16S ribosomal RNA
Rfam family: Bacterial small subunit ribosomal RNA
Source: RNAcentral
UACGUAGGGGGCGAGCGUUGUCCGGAUUUAUUGGGCGUAAAGAGCGUGUAGGCGGCCAGGUAGGUCUGCUGUGAAAACUCGAGGCUCAACCUCGAGACGUCGGCGGAAACCAUCUGGCUAGAGUCCGGAAGAGGAGAGUGGAAUUCCUGGUGUAGCGGUGAAAUGCGCAGAUAUCAGGAAGAACACCCGUGGCGAAGGCGGCUCUCUGGGACGGUACUGACGCUGAGACGCGAAAGCGUGGGGAGCGAA